Molecule: ribosomal RNA, 548 nt
Filed under: Mucor sp. Pr15
Lineage: Eukaryota; Fungi; Mucoromycota; Mucoromycetes; Mucorales; Mucoraceae
Description: eukaryotic LSU rRNA
Rfam family: 5.8S ribosomal RNA (bases 196-348)
Source: RNAcentral
UUGGCUUGUCCAUUAUUAUCUAUUUACUGUGAACUGUAUUAUUACUUGACGCUUGAGGGAUGUUCCAUUGCUAUAAGGAUAGGCAUUGGAAAUGUUAACCGAGUCAUAAUCAAGCUUAGGCUUGGUAUCCUAUUAUUAUUUACCAAAAGAAUUCAGAAUUAAUAUUGUAACAUAGACGUAAAAAAUCUAUAAAACAACUUUUAACAACGGAUCUCUUGGUUCUCGCAUCGAUGAAGAACGUAGCAAAGUGCGAUAACUAGUGUGAAUUGCAUAUUCAGUGAAUCAUCGAGUCUUUGAACGCAACUUGCGCUCAUUGGUAUUCCAAUGAGCACGCCUGUUUCAGUAUCAAAACAAACCCUCUAUCCAACUUUUGUUGAAUAGGAUGACUGAGAGUCUCCUGAUCUAUUCUGAUCUCGAACCUCUUGAAAUGUACAAAGGCCUGAUCUUGUUUGAAUGCCUGAACUUUUUUUUAAUAUAAAGAGAAGCUCUUGCGAUAAAACUGUGCUGGGGCCUCCCAAAUAACACAUCUUUAAAUUUGAUCUGAAAUC